RNAcentral lists this ribosomal RNA (253 nucleotides) under uncultured bacterium. RNAcentral's name for it is "partial 16S ribosomal RNA". It matches the Rfam family "Bacterial small subunit ribosomal RNA", at positions 524 to 776 of the family's 1533-position model. The record is from RNAcentral.
UACGUAGGUGACAAGCGUUAUCCGGAAUUACUGGGCGUAAAGCGCACGCAGGCGGCGCGGUAAGUCUGAUGUGAAAGCCCUGGGCUCAACCUGGGAAUUGCAUUGGAUACUGGCAGGCUAGAGUGCGGUAGAGGAUGGCGGAAUUCCCGGUGUAGCAGUGAAAUGCGUAGAGAUCGGGAGGAACAUCUGUGGCGAAGGCGGCUUCCUGGACCGACACUGACGCUGAGGCGCGAAAGCUAGGGGAGCAAACGGG